This is a non-coding RNA of Macaca mulatta (Rhesus monkey), 952 nucleotides long. The record is from RefSeq and is a predicted model, not a curated record. Lineage: Eukaryota; Metazoa; Chordata; Mammalia; Primates; Cercopithecidae.
AUCCCUGCUACUCGGGAGGCUGAGGCAGGAGAAUCAUUUGAACCUGGGAGGCGGAGGUUACAGUCAGCUGAUUUUGUGCCACUGCCCUGUAGCCUAGGUGACAGAGUGAGACUCUAACCCCAAAAAGAAAACAAAACAAAAGCAAAAACAACAAAACAAAGAACAAAAUAACCUGAUACUUGUAGUAUCAGUUUUAAAGCAGAGGUAUGAAGAUAUUUAAAUUGUAUUUCAAUGAUGCAGAAGGUGUAUUUUUUAUUUAGAGAUUCUUGAUGAAUAUCUUCUGUAAAUUGCCUGGGUUUUUUAUUAUUAUUAUUAUUAUUAUUAUUAUUAUUAUUAUUGCUGGUUUAUAGCUGUUUUUCAGUUCACGCAGUAAAAUUUUACUGGGUUAUUUGAUUUUUUUAGAGUCAUCCCUCAGGUGAAUUUAUAUUACAGAAGUAAAGUUGAAGCCAUUCUUAAGAUGUGGAACUUACUCCUAGAUCCUGAUAGAACUAGUCAAAUUGAGAUAUAUUAACACUGUAUCUUGGCAAAUUUGCCUAGAUAAGUCUUUAUGAUUUUCUAUCAUGUGACUCUGAACAGUUAUACACUGGAAAAAAAGUAAAAUAUAUUAUCAAACCAUUACCCUAUGUGAUCCUCAAGAGCUAGAACAAAGUCUUAAUGUUUCUAUUUUUAACACCUACCAAUGUCUAAGACAUAGUAGGAGCUCAAUAAAUGUUUCAUAAUCAAAGGCUCUGGGUCUCCUUGCCCCUUCCAGAACCCUAUAAUUAUUGUUCAUAUUCUUUCAGCAGAUUCCAAUGUCAAAACAGAUGACUCUUGUAUACUAGUACACAAUUUGGCUUGUUGUGUGACUUGACUCCGGGGGAGAAGACAGUAAAUUGAAUGGAAUUCGAAUAUUUGUUCAGUUCUGUUGACAGAGGUUUUUCAAUGUAAAUUAAUAAAUUCGUGUUCUGGUGUC